AUUGAACGCUGGCGGCAUGCCUUACACAUGCAAAUCGAACGGUAACGGGCCUUCGGGUGCCGACGAGUGGCGAACGGGUGAGUAAUACAUCGGAACGUGCCCGAUCGUGGGGGAUAACGAGGCGAAAGCUUUGCUAAUACCGCAUACGAUCUACGGAUGAAAGCAGGGGACCGCAAGGCCUUGCGCGGACGGAGCGGCCGAUGGCAGAUUAGGUAGUUGGUGGGGUAAAAGCUUACCAAGCCGACGAUCUGUAGCUGGUCUGAGAGGAUGAUCAGCCACACUGGGACUGAGACACGGCCCAGACUCCUACGGGAGGCAGCAGUGGGGAAUUUUGGACAAUGGGCGCAAGCCUGAUCCAGCCAUGCCGCGUGCAGGAUGAAGGCCUUCGGGUUGUAAACUGAUUUUGUACGGAACGAAAAGCCUUCUUUUAAUACAGGAGGGUCAUGACGGUACCGUAAGAAUAAGCACCGGCUAACUACGUG
RNAcentral lists this ribosomal RNA (482 nucleotides) under uncultured bacterium. Its description in RNAcentral is "partial 16S ribosomal RNA". It matches the Rfam family "Bacterial small subunit ribosomal RNA", at positions 30 to 507 of the family's 1533-position model. The record is from RNAcentral.